This 497-nucleotide ribosomal RNA is filed under the name uncultured bacterium. RNAcentral's name for it is "partial 16S ribosomal RNA". It matches the Rfam family "Bacterial small subunit ribosomal RNA", at positions 28 to 507 of the family's 1533-position model. The record is from RNAcentral.
GAUGAACGCUGGCGGCGUGCCUAAUACAUGCAAGUCGAGCGAACAGACGAGGAGCUUGCUCCUCUGACGUUAGCGGCGGACGGGUGAGUAACACGUGGAUAACCUACCUAUAAGACUGGGAUAACUUCGGGAAACCGGAGCUAAUACCGGAUAAUAUAUUGAACCGCAUGGUUCAAUAGUGAAAGACGGUUUUGCUGUCACUUAUAGAUGGAUCCGGGCCGCAUGAGCUAGUUGGUAAGGUAACGGCUUACCAAGGCGACGAGGCGUAGCCGACCUGAGAGAGUGAUAGGCCACACUGGAACUGAGACACGGUCCAGACUCCUACGGGAGGCAGCAGUAGGGAAUCUUCCGCAAUGGGCGAGAGCCUGACGGAGCAACGCCGCGUGAGUGAUGAAGGUCUUCGGAUCGUAAAACUCUGUUAUUAGGGAAGAACAAAUGUGUAAGUAACUAUGCACGUCUUGACGGUACCUAAUCAGAAAGCCACGGCUAACUACGUG